UAGAGUUUGAACCAAUCAUUUUUCAGUUAGUGUACAUCUGUAUUCAACUGAUGUUGUGUGUACUUCAGAGACAUACAGUAACUUCAGGACUGAAGGGUUUUAUAUCCACCAUUUGUAGGAUCUGAGAAGAGUCAGAGAUCAGUCUGAUGGAGCAUAAAAUAAAGACGGAUGUCUGGUACAAUUAUUAAUUUGACAUAUUUUUGUUAACUUUGUGUGUUAAGUGUUCCUCAAGGCCCAGCAAAUCUUGAGGAACAGGAGAAGUGCAUCAGUUUCACAGAGUAUCUCCUGGACAACCUCAAACAUCUACUUCCAAACAUGUACCCUCACGCAUCUGUCAGCAACACAACAGUGAGUUUAGACUUAUGUUUAUAUUUGUAUUUGUGUUUAUAAUGUUGUGAAUCUGAUGAAAUGAUGAUAAAUAAUUAUUUUUUUUGGUUUGGUUCAUGAGUGAGAGAUUCAGAAAUGUGUUUGUGUAUAUGAUGAGGCAGACAGUGUGUUUGAGGAGAGAGGAGACAUCACCAUUGAAGAGUGUGUCCAGCUGCUGCCUCUCACAGAGAACAGGUCCAAGCCACCAAAAGUUGGACAACUUGGGCGUCUCAAAAAAAGAUUAACACAUUUUUGGAGAAAGUUCGGCUCAUGCACUGGCAGGUACAAAGUGCAAGAUUUAAAACGUUUAACAUUUUAUGUAUGCUGGUAAAACAAGGGACAAAGGUUUAUUUUUGAUUAUGAAAAUACCUAAAGGAAGUUUAAAAAUGUACAUUAAACUGUAAAGUACAUUGGUCUUGAAUGUGCUGUCUAAAAAGGUGUUCUCUGUUUUCUUUGUGUCUUAUUAAUUCCUUUUCCAUAAAGCCCCUAUAAAGAGAGUAAAGAGCCUUCUGGAGCCGGUGAUGGACAAAAGCAACCAAUGAGGGUCACCGGAAAACGUUGAGGGCCGGUGAGGGUCACUGAAGGACUGUGAGGGGUUGGUGACAUUCACCUGAGUGCACAAAUGGUUUGGUGAGGGUCACCAGAGAAUAAUGUGACUGGUAAGGGUCACCUGAAAACACAGAGUUGGUGAGGGUCACCAGAGGACAUAGGACUGGUGAGGGUCAUCUCAAGGCAUGGAGAGUUAAUGAGGGUCACCAGAGGACAAUACGACAGGAGAGGGACACCUGAAAACACUGAGGGUUGGUGAGGGUCACCUGAAGACACAGAGGGUUGGUGAGGGUCACUCAAUUAAAGCUUGUCAUUUUCAUUUAAUUACUGUCUCUCUUGUUUUUUGUGUCUGUAUUCUGCAGUCUUUAGUGUGUAAUAGUAGCAUUUUCUGCACUCAGAUGUUUACAAAUCUAAAAACAUUUACAAUAAAAUAAACAUGGUAUUACAAAACAAUAAAAUUAAAAAUGUAUGACAUUACAUAAUUUUGUUUAUUUAUUAUAUAUAAUAAAAUGAAUGAAUGAAUGAAUGAAUGAAUGAAUGAAUGAAUGAAUGAAUGAACGAACGAACGAACGAACGAAUGAAUGAAUGAAUUAAACUUAAAAUCAUGUUACUCUAAACUUAAAUAGCAAGUGAAUUACACAAGGAGCUGUCUUUAUUGUAAGUCAAAGAGAACGUAACCCAGUGUACUCUUGAACAUGUCAUGAGGUUCUUACUUUCAGACGAAUAUUAGAUGUUGCUGAGUGAAUUUACUUUGAGGGACA
Long non-coding RNA from Danio rerio (zebrafish), 1676 nucleotides. The record is from Ensembl. NCBI's taxonomy places the organism in Eukaryota, Metazoa, Chordata, Actinopteri, Cypriniformes, Danionidae.